CGCGUAGGCGGUGUGGCAAGUCAGGUGUGAAACCUCCAGGCUCAACUUGGAGCUUGCAUCUGAAACUGCCGUGCUAGAGUGUGGGAGAGGAGAGUGGAAUUCCUGGUGUAGCGGUGAAAUGCGUAGAUAUCAGGAGGAACACCGGUGGCGAAGGCGGCUCUCUGGACCACAACUGACGCUGAGGCGCGAAAGCUAGGGGAGCAAACAGGAUUAGAUACCCUGGUAGUCCUAGCUGUAAACGAUGAACACUUGGUAUAGCGGGUAUCGAAUCCCGCCGUGCCGGAGCUAACGCAUUAAGUGUUCCGCCUGGGGAGUACGGUCGCAAGGCUGAA
Molecule: ribosomal RNA, 332 nt
Filed under: uncultured Acidobacteriota bacterium
Lineage: Bacteria; Pseudomonadati; Acidobacteriota
Description: bacterial SSU rRNA
Rfam family: Bacterial small subunit ribosomal RNA
Source: RNAcentral